GACGAACGCUGGCGGCGUGCCUAAUACAUGCAAGUUGAGCGAUGAAGAUUGGUGCUUGCACCAAUUUGAAGAGCAGCGAACGGGUGAGUAACGCGUGGGGAAUCUGCCUUUGAGCGGGGGACAACAUUUGGAAACGAAUGCUAAUACCGCAUAACAACUUUAAACAUAAGUUUUAAGUUUGAAAGAUGCAAUUGCAUCACUCAAAGAUGAUCCCGCGUUGUAUUAGCUAGUUGGUGAGGUAAAGGCUCACCAAGGCGAUGAUACAUAGCCGACCUGAGAGGGUGAUCGGCCACAUUGGGACUGAGACACGGCCCAAACUCCUACGGGAGGCAGCAGUAGGGAAUCUUCGGCAACGGACGAAAGUCUGACCGAGCAACGCCGCGUGAGUGAAGAAGGUUUUCGGAUCGUAAAACUCUGUUGGUAGAGAAGAACGUUGGUGAGAGUGGAAAGCUCAUCAAGUGACGGUAACUACCCAGAAAGGGACGGCUAACUACGUA
RNAcentral lists this ribosomal RNA (497 nucleotides) under uncultured bacterium. RNAcentral describes it as "partial 16S ribosomal RNA". It matches the Rfam family "Bacterial small subunit ribosomal RNA", at positions 28 to 507 of the family's 1533-position model. The record is from RNAcentral.